AUUUAUCUUCCGGCCACACACGAACAGACUCACGCCCAGUUACGUACACAACUGGUUUAUAGUAUAUAACCGGGGGACACCGUCCGUCUGUAGAUAUGUGGCUUGCGUUUCUGACUUUGUGCGGGUUUCUCUUCAGUUCAUCGGCUGCUGAUGAGAUUCAGGAGAAGUGCUAUGGCAAUAGUUUGACCUUGCCUUCUAAAUAUGCUCCGGCUGUUUACAAAGGACAGCUUUAUUUCACUCCCAGCAAUGGUGGACCCCAAAGGCUAAUGUUGGAAAAUGGAAAGGCUAAAGAUCGACGCCUCGAUGACUUGCUUUUUAACAUCUAUAUACGAGAUCUGAGAGUAGAAGAUGAAGGAUAUUUUUCUGUUUCCCAUGAUGGGAUCCAACAAUUCAGGAUACUUACCCUUAAAGUUUUGGAUUGUGCUGAUGAGGUCCACAAGCAUUAUGGAGAUACGUAUACAUACCGUGUCCCUAGUAAGGCUGAGUUCUUAGAGUUUACUCCUUUGAAAAGCUCGGACCAGCUGAAGAUUCUGUGGAAUCGCUCUGACUCCUCAGUCAGUUCCAAUGAUCCUGACAGUCCAGUGAGAGCUUUUUCUAAUGAUUUUUAUUGGGAGAGGCGAUAUCUUACUCAGAAGCAUAAUGGCUACUACAACUUCCGGGAGAAACACAACAUUCUUAUCUCGAGACUUCAUCUUAAAGUGGAAGAGAAUGAAGACAGCCUCAUUGGGAAGGUGGGGAGACAUCUACGGAUUACAUUUCCCUGGGCUAGGGAUGAUUGGAUUGGGACUUUUAGGCCUGAAAGUGAUCCAGACUUUUCUAUGACGAUUAAAAGAAGUCGAGUUCCAAAGAUCUGGUUUGAAGAUAGAAUUCAGGUGGAUUCUGAUGGCAUGGACAUAGAUCCUGUAGAAUCCAGCGAUGCAGGCAUUUUUGAGUUUCGAGAUGAAGAAGGCAACCUAGCUUGGGUUCUGGACCUAAAAGUAGAAGAUGAUAAUCUGACUGGGAUUAAAUAUGCGGCUGUGGCUGCCGUGAUUUUGCUGGCGGUGGUUACCUGCUGCUGCUGUUACUGCAAAAGGAGACGCAGGAAAAGGGAAUUGGCUACUCCUGCUCUACUUAAUUAUACUACUGAAACCCCUGCUGCGUCACCUGCUGCGCCACCUGCUGUGCAUCAUCGUGGGCGGAGUCAACCACCAACGUACACAACUGCAUCAGUUCCCCCUGCUUCAACUUCUCAGACAGUGAAUUCCCACGCCUCUAACAGAACUACAGAUACGUCUCAUGAGCCGCCGGUGUAUAAUCCAGUGAGCAUCCAUUUGAACCCCUCUCAGCGUGAGAUGUCUGUUCCCACACCUCCAAUCAGCUCAGGCUUCCUCACUUCAGAUGCUGAGCUUCGGUUUGAGCUGAAAGGAAUGACAUCGCCGUCCUCGCUACCUCUCUCUUCAGAAUCAACUGUGUGUGAUGUUUAUAACUCUGACAAACUAAACUUUCGCUAAAUUCCUUUCUUAUGCUAAAAAUUCAAAGCAAGUUUGAAUGUAUACUUCAGCAAUGGAGUGGUGCAGUAUAAGUAUUAGUGUUAAAUGUAAAGUUGCAGUUACAAGUGUGCAAAUAGAAAGUUUAGCUCAUAUCAAUAAUGUCUCUGGAUCCCACUGUGUAGCCAAGUGGUAUGAUAACAUUCUUAUGUUAUUGUGUUGUUGUGGUUUCUAUUAACUUCACUUGUUUGCCUUGAGGCUUGAUGUGAAAUUAAUUGUAACAUUUGGAUUUUUGUUACGUCAUCAUCAGGUCAGAAUUACAGGUUUUACUCCGCCUACUUCCAAAGACACUAGGAACUGUAAUCUUCUUUUUUAAGCUUUUUUUUUUUUUUUUUUUUUUUUUUUUUAAACUUCUAUCUUUUGUAUUAAAGGAGAAUACAAUUUUGUUACAAUCUUGACUUGCACUUAUACGUUGUAUAGUAUGUCUCUUAUAACUAUUUGUGUGACUGCAUUUGUGGUUUCAACUCAGAAAUGUGCCUUCAGUUGUAUAACUUUUUUUUUUAAUGUCUUUUAAAGUUUAACAUCUCUUGUGAAAAUACUGGAAAAAUGAAUUUACUUUAAAAAAAACCUGCAACAGUGUAUUAAAUACAUUGACUGACAUUUUAUUCAAACUGUGGUAUGCAAUAUUUCCAUUUGUUCUUUGUAUAACUCCUAAUGAAAUGCAUGAAUAUUUUGGUUUGGAAUAGAGUCCAAAAAUAAAA
Molecule: long non-coding RNA, 2227 nt
Organism: Gouania willdenowi (blunt-snouted clingfish)
Lineage: Eukaryota; Metazoa; Chordata; Actinopteri; Blenniiformes; Gobiesocidae
Source: Ensembl